RNAcentral lists this ribosomal RNA (253 nucleotides) under uncultured bacterium. Its description in RNAcentral is "partial 16S ribosomal RNA". It matches the Rfam family "Bacterial small subunit ribosomal RNA", at positions 524 to 776 of the family's 1533-position model. The record is from RNAcentral.
UACGUAGGGUGCGAGCGUUAAUCGGAAUUACUGGGCGUAAAGUGUGCGCAGGCGGCCGCGCAAGUCGAGUGUGAAAGCCCCGGGCUUAACUUGGGAAUUGCGCUCGAAACUACGUGGCUGGAGUGUGGCAGAGGAAGGUGGAAUUCCACGUGUAGCGGUGAAAUGCGUAGAGAUGUAGAGGAACACCGAUGGCGAAGGCAGCCCCCUGGGCUAACACUGACGCUCAUGCACGAAAGCGUGGGGAGCAAACAGG